This 102-nucleotide unclassified non-coding RNA is filed under the name uncultured fungus. RNAcentral describes it as "sequence contains ITS1". The record is from RNAcentral. Lineage: Eukaryota; Fungi.
GUAUAAAACUCUACCAUAUCUUUUUGUCAAACAAGCAAGCGUAAACAUAAGAGGCAGAGCCUCUAACUAUUAUUGAUCCUUCCGCAGGUUCACCUACGGAAA